GAUGAACGCUGGCGGCGUGCCUAAUACAUGCAAGUCGAGCGAACAGAUGAGGAGCUUGCUCCUCUGACGUUAGCGGCGGACGGGUGAGUAACACGUGGAUAACCUACCUAUAAGACUGGGAUAACUUCGGGAAACCGGAGCUAAUACCGGAUAAUAUAUUGAACCGCAUGGUUCAAUAGUGAAAGACGGUUUUGCUGUCACUUAUAGAUGGAUCCGCGCCGCAUUAGCUAGUUGGUAAGGUAACGGCUUACCAAGGCGACGAUGCGUAGCCGACCGGAGAGGGUGAUAGGCCACACGGGAGCUGAGACAGGGUCCAGAGGCCUACGGGAGGCAGCAGUAGGGAAUCUUCCGCAAUGGGCGAAAGCCUGACGGAGCAACGCGGCGUGAGUGAUGAAGGUCUUCGGAUCGUAAAACUCUGUUAUUAGGGAAGAACAAAUGUGUAAGUAACUAUGCACGUCUUGACGGUACCUAAUCAGAAAGCCACGGCUAACUACGUG
This 497-nucleotide ribosomal RNA is filed under the name uncultured bacterium. RNAcentral describes it as "partial 16S ribosomal RNA". It matches the Rfam family "Bacterial small subunit ribosomal RNA", at positions 28 to 507 of the family's 1533-position model. The record is from RNAcentral.